GGGUUGGUAUCCAAAUUGGUGAAGGAGCUUGACUGUAAAUCAAGUGCUUAAUGCUAAACAUGGGGGUUCGAGUCCCUCCCAACCCACCU
Molecule: transfer RNA, 89 nt
Filed under: Hyella patelloides LEGE 07179
Lineage: Bacteria; Bacillati; Cyanobacteriota; Cyanophyceae; Pleurocapsales; Pleurocapsaceae
Description: tRNA-Tyr
Rfam family: tRNA
About the family: Transfer RNA (tRNA) molecules are approximately 80 nucleotides in length.
Source: RNAcentral